UACUUCCAGAACAGAGCAAGCCCUGCCUCUCUUGCCUACUUGCGGCUCUCAAGCCGCUCCAGUGUUAAAACAAUAA
Molecule: small RNA, 76 nt
Filed under: Effusibacillus lacus
Lineage: Bacteria; Bacillati; Bacillota; Bacilli; Caryophanales; Alicyclobacillaceae
Description: BsrC
Rfam family: BsrC
About the family: The 301 nucleotide sequence from Kouji Nakamura has been trimmed to a highly conserved ~85 nucleotide long core to form this family.
Source: Rfam by way of RNAcentral